Prunus mume (Japanese apricot) is the source of this 2212-nucleotide long non-coding RNA. RefSeq lists it as uncharacterized. The record is from RefSeq and is a predicted model, not a curated record. Lineage: Eukaryota; Viridiplantae; Streptophyta; Magnoliopsida; Rosales; Rosaceae.
ACGGUUCUGGGACUCAGAGAAAGUAUAUAUUACUUGUUAGGUGGGAAGUCACUUGCUGUAAAAUUCGCUAAUAAUGGGCAUCCCACUCCUUGAGUGAUUCCUUUGCUCAGGAGUCAAAGAUUUCAUGGAUGGUAUGGGCCUUGGGAUGCUUGCGGAACAGAUGAAACAUAAGAUAUCUUCAGCCACCUCUCAGCUAUCAAAUCUGUCUUUGGGCAAGAGCAACCUCAACUGGGCAUAGCUGACAAAUUAGAGUGCCUCAGAGAGACGAUCAUUAAAGUGCGUGAGCUUUUCCACGAAACUGAUUCCACAGAGUUUGUCAUAGUAACAAUACCCCGGUAAGAUCUUUGCAAAUGUGAUCCUUGCUUCUCCUUAACCUUUGUGUGUUUCUUUUUAAUGAUGGUUGAAGUUAGGAGAGUGAAAACUGGGAUAAUUACUAGACACAUCUCCUCCUGAUUUGGAUGAAGCUAUUGUAAUUUCCAAGCUUAAACAUAAGAUAUCUUCAGCCACCUCAGCUAUCAAAUCUGUCUUGGGCAAGAGCAACCUCAACUGCGUGCAGCUGACAAAUUAAAGCGACUCAGAGAGACGAUGAUUAAAGUGUGCGAGCUUUUCAGCGAUACUGAUUCUACAGAGUUUGUCAUAUUAACAAUACCCACGAUACACCCUGAGAAGGCAAGGAAAGAAUUCCGUAAUGUCGGUCAGCUUUAAUGGUGGAACAGAAGCCAAAGAUUUCAUGGAUGGUAUAUGGUCCUUGGGAUGCUUGCAGAACAGUUAGGAGUGAAAACUGGGAUAAUUACUAGACACAUCUCCUCCAAGUUUGGAUGAAGCUAUUGCAAUUUCCGAGCUUAAACAGAAGAUAUCUUCAGCCACUCAGGUCAGCUAUCAAAUCUGUCUUUGGGCAAGAGCAACCUCAACUGGGAGCAGUAAGGCUGAUGCUUUGAGCUGCUUUUAUACUCUGAUUUCUAGACAAGUAUGCUAGCCUUCUAAUUUUAAACUUCAAUGCAGGCUGACAAAUUAGAGUGACUCAGGGCGAUACUGAUUCCCCAAAGUUUGUCAUAGUAACAAUACCCACGGUGAUGGCAGUCAGUGAGUCAUCUAGGUUGCAUGCCUCUUUGAAAAAAAAAAGAUAAGUUGAUGAAGUGAUCUUAAACAUAGAUUGAGAUCAAGAUGUAAUCAUGAAGUAUAGGGCUUAUCAUUUUAGUUCAAUUUUCAAUUUUAUAUAUGUGAUGAACUCUGCAUAGAUUGCAUUAAGAUCAACAGUGUGUGUUGGGAAAUUGGGUUAGACUUUGUUCACUGCCAAACCCUAAACCAAAUCUCCUAUAAGAUACAUCCUAUAAAACCCUGGUGCAAAUGGGACACUGUAAAGGAAUCGACCUUGGACGCCUGGGUAAAGAUAUGAUAGCCAGGUCACUUGACCCGGUUUGAAACCGAGGUACCUGGGCCAUUGUUCAUGUACUCAGCAUAAAACAGAGUGCUUAGAGAUUUCCCAUUCCACUCCAGCAAACCCUCUGGCCUUAUAACGUUACUCAUAGAUGACUUCAUGAUCACGGUACGUGCAUAUUUGCCCCAAGGUCGACCCAAGUAGGUGGGACGGGGAUUUUUGCCAUCCCACUGAGGCUUUCUUCGGACCACUAAACUCCAACUCUGGAGAUUCCAACUGCUUAUAAUAUUAUUAAGAGACAUAUUAGGAAAAGGCAGAACAUGGUCAUGCUCAUGAUCAUGAUCAUGAUCAUGAUGCAGAAAUAAGAGUUUUUUUCUUAUUUUAAUAUGAUGUGGACAAAAAUAUUGGGUGUCCUUUUUAUUGGCUGGGGAUGCCAGCUCAGUCGCCCCAUAUGUGACAGGCAAGUUUAUCUCCUUUUUGACAGGGUAUUAUUGUGGCUGGCUGCUUUUAAAGAUGAUGAAGGGGUAUAUAUAUAGCAUAUUAGCAUGCAUGAGGGAGCACGGCAGAGAGAGCAAAGAACCAGGCAAGGGAAAGGCAGUGAGGAAAAACAGCUCAGAGGGUGAGAGAGAACUUGAGUUUGUGCAGUGCUGUGAGCAAGAGAGGGUAUUUUCUCUUGGGGUCAGAGUCAUCUUCAUGGGUUAGACGGAUUAUAAAAAGUGCGUGUAAGGAGUGCAUUCUAUUGGAUAUGAGGUCGGAUUUGGGUACAAAACUAUUGAGUGGUUAUUUUUGUACGUACUUGUAUUUUUCUUUUGUUAUAGUGAAAGCGAUAACUCA